Molecule: ribosomal RNA, 616 nt
Filed under: uncultured Lachnospiraceae bacterium
Lineage: Bacteria; Bacillati; Bacillota; Clostridia; Lachnospirales; Lachnospiraceae
Description: bacterial SSU rRNA
Rfam family: Bacterial small subunit ribosomal RNA
Source: RNAcentral
AAACUUCGGUCGAUUUAAUUUAAUUCUAGUGGCGGACGGGUGAGUAACGCGUGGGUAACCUGCCUUAUACAGGGGGAUAACAGUCAGAAAUGGCUGCUAAUACCGCAUAAGCGCACAGAGCUGCAUGGCUCAGUGUGAAAAACUCCGGUGGUAUAAGAUGGACCCGCGUUGGAUUAGCUAGUUGGUGGGGUAACGGCCCACCAAGGCGACGAUCCAUAGCCGGCCUGAGAGGGUGAACGGCCACAUUGGGACUGAGACACGGCCCAGACUCCUACGGGAGGCAGCAGUGGGGAAUAUUGCACAAUGGGGGAAACCCUGAUGCAGCGACGCCGCGUGAAGGAAGAAGUAUCUCGGUAUGUAAACUUCUAUCAGCAGGGAAGAUAGUGACGGUACCUGACUAAGAAGCCCCGGCUAACUACGUGCCAGCAGCCGCGGUAAUACGUAGGGGGCAAGCGUUAUCCGGAUUUACUGGGUGUAAAGGGAGCGUAGACGGUGUGGCAAGUCUGAUGUGAAAGGCAUGGGCUCAACCUGUGGACUGCAUUGGAAACUGUCAUACUUGAGUGCCGGAGGGGUAAGCGGAAUUCCUAGUGUAGCGGUGAAAUGCGUAGAUAUUAGG